RNAcentral lists this ribosomal RNA (903 nucleotides) under uncultured bacterium. Its description in RNAcentral is "bacterial SSU rRNA". It matches the Rfam family "Bacterial small subunit ribosomal RNA", at positions 28 to 916 of the family's 1533-position model. The record is from RNAcentral.
AACGAACGCUGGCGGCAGGCUUCAUACAUGCAAGUCGAACGCGAAAGCUCCUUCGGGAGCAAGUAGAGUGGCGAACGGGUGAGUAACAGGUGGAUAAUCUACCUUCCGGUGGGGGACAACGGCUGGAAACGGCCGCUAAUACCGCAUACGAUUGCCGGUUCUUCGGAACUGGCAAGGAAAGGGGCAAUUGCUCCGCCGGAUGAUGAGUCCGCCCCCCAUUAGCUUGUUGGUAGGGUAACGGCCUACCAAGGCUUCGAUGGGUAGCCGAGCUGAGAGGUUGAUCGGCCACACUGGAACUGAGACACGGUCCAGACACCUACGGGUGGCAGCAGUAGGGAAUAUUGCGCAAUGAGCGAAAGCUUGACGCAGCCAUGCCGCGUGGAUGAUGAAGGCCUUCGGGUCGUAAAGUCCUUUUCUGAGGGAAGAAUAAGCCGGGGAGUGGAAAGCCCCGGCCCUGACGGUACCUCAGGAAUAAGCAACGGCUAACUCCGUGCCAGCAGCCGCGGUAAUACGGAGGUUGCGAGCGUUGUUCGGAAUUACUGGGCGUAAAGGGAGCGCAGGCGGCUUGGUCAGUCUGAAGUGAAAGCCCGGGGCUUAACCCCGGAAGGACUUCGGAUACUGCCUGGCUUGAGUUCGUGAGAGGUGAGCGGAAUUUCAGGUGAAGCGGUGAAAUGCGUAGAUAUCUGAAGGAACAUCGGUGGCGAAAGCGGCUCACUGGCACGAAACUGACGCUGAGGCUCGAAAGCGUGGGGAGCGAACGGGAUUAGAUACCCCGGUAGUCCACGCCGUAAACGUUGUGCACUAGGUGUGAGAGGUAUCGACCCCUCUCGUGCCGGAGCUAACGCAUUAAGCGCACCGCCGGGGGAGUACGGUCGCAAGACUGAAACUCAAAGGAAUUGACGG